AGGGGCAGAGUGAGGAGGGAGAGCCAUGAGCAGCCAUGCCCCAAGCCUGCACUCAGGCCCAGCCCAGGUUCCCUGCUGGCUGCAGUGGGCACACAGUAGGCUGGUCACAGGCGGUGUCAGUGUCUGGUUCUGUAUUUGCCACAGAAGUCAAGAUGCCUCCUGGGUCCUGGUGUGACUCACUGUGGGAGCAGAGCUGCAUCCAGGACCCUUAUGGAUAAUGUCAUAGAUCACCACAAACUGGGCUGCUUAAUACAAUGCACUCUUACAAUUCUGGAGGGCAAAAGCCC
This 287-nucleotide long non-coding RNA is filed under the name Cavia porcellus (domestic guinea pig). RNAcentral describes it as "lncRNA (ENSCPOG00000036513.1)". Lineage: Eukaryota; Metazoa; Chordata; Mammalia; Rodentia; Caviidae. The record is from RNAcentral.